Molecule: long non-coding RNA, 217 nt
Organism: Vidua macroura (Pin-tailed whydah)
Lineage: Eukaryota; Metazoa; Chordata; Aves; Passeriformes; Viduidae
Exons: 3
Source: RefSeq, a predicted model, not a curated record
GCCGUUGUCUACGUGGACACAUCUGACUGCCCCAGGGAGCUCCUACCUGGCUUGGCCGGGUCCUUCCUGCCCUCAGACCUGGAGCCAGGCUUGGAGAGCCUCCUGCGAGGCAUUGCCAAGGAGGGUCUCUUCCCCAACCUGGUUCUGCUGGAUCCAGCUGUGACUGUACAGACCCUGCGCUUGGCUCUGCCCCCCACCUGGACAUCCCAGUCUUCAA